Molecule: ribosomal RNA, 253 nt
Filed under: uncultured bacterium
Lineage: Bacteria
Also listed under: 1 other name
Description: partial 16S ribosomal RNA
Rfam family: Bacterial small subunit ribosomal RNA
Source: RNAcentral
UACGUAGGGGGCAAGCGUUGUUCGGAAUUACUGGGCGUAAAGGGCGCGUAGGCGGCACGACAAGUCGGGAGUGAAAGCCCGGGGCUCAACCCCGGAGGGUCUCUCGAAACUGUCGAGCUAGAGUGCGGAAGAGGCAAUCGGAAUUCCCAGUGUAGCGGUGAAAUGCGUAGAUAUUGGGAAGAACACCGGAGGCGAAGGCGGGUUGCUGGGCCGACACUGACGCUGAGGCGCGAAAGCCAGGGGAGCAAACGGG